UUUUGAAAGCUUGGAAUUUAUGCGUUGAUCGAUUUAGAGAGAUUUGAUCGAAUGAUCAACUGAUUGAAUUGGUUUCAGGUAUUAUUUAGUUCAAAUUCAGAAUGCAUCUAUUGCAUGGUCGAUAGAUUGAAUUCCUUUUAGACUUCUUGUAGUCUUCGAUCAAUUGAACUUGUCAGACCUACGUAUUCGGUGCCUGUAUAAUAGUAUUGUUGUGUUUUUAUGUAGGAUCUCAAUGAAAGCCAGUAGUGUUUGGGAAAUGUCAUAGUGCAAUCGGGAUCUUGUGGUAGGCAGCAUUCGAUUCGUUUUGGUUUGUGCUUAUAUUUGUUUUUUUUUCACCAUCAUCCCAAUUUUUACCGCUGUGUUUAUUCUUCCUUCAUCUAUAUUUCUCUUUUCCACUAUUUGUUCUGAAAAUUCAUGGAUCUUCUUACACUGAAUAUUAGGUGAGGAUUGCUAUUCCUUUACAAUUCAUUACAAAUGGCUUAUUCUAUUUGUACAGAUAUAGUGGGGGAGCAUGUUAAUCCUAGUUUGUCUAUUAGUUCUCAGUUCUUGUCUUCAGCGUGGGGCAGAGCAGUUUGGUAGCUCACAAGGCUCCUAACCUUGAUGUCAUGGGUUCAAAUCCCGUCUCCGCAGCUUUAAUUUUAUUCUUGGUUAUUUUUUUUUUUUUUUUUUAUAAUAAUAAAUUUGUUAUGCUGGUUGUCCGUUAUGUUUUGCUUUUAGUCACUUGAAGAUUGGCUUGGUGAAAGUUAAAGAGCCUUUUGCGUGGCUGGACUUCUUACUUGUCAUUGGUCUGUACAUCCUGUGAUUAGUUGAAAACAGAAGAUAGUAUCUAAUUCUCUGUUUUUGUUUUUCAUUCUUGGCUUUUGCUUGACCUCUCUCUUUGGUGUUUACAAACGCUUGUUAUUUUACUUUAUUUGUAACUGUUUUUGAGAGCUGUCCAUUGGCAGCAUUCGAUUCGUUUUGGUUUGUGAUUAUAUUUGGUAUUAUUUCACAAUCAUCCCAAUUUUUACCGCUGUGGUUAUUCUUCAUUACAAAUGGCUUAUUGUAUUUGCACAGAUAUAGUGAUGGAGCAUAUUAAAUCCUUGUUUGUCUAUUAGUUCUCAGUUCUUGUCUUCAGCAUGGGGCAGAGCAGUUUGGUAGCUAACAAGGCUCCUAACCUUGAUGUCAUGGUUCAAAUCCCAUCUUCACAACUUUAUUAAUAAAUUUGUUAUGCUGGUUGUCCGUUACGUUUUUGCUUGUUUGCAGUCACUUGAAGAUUGGCUUGGUGAAAGUUACAGAGCCUUUUGCGUGGCUGGACUUCUUACUUGUCAUUGGGCUGUACAUCCUGUGAUUAGUUGAGAACAGACAAUAGUAUAUAAUUCUCUGUUUUUGUUUUUUGUUCUUUGCUUUUGCUUGACCUCUCUCUUUGGUGUUUACAAAUGCUUGUUAUUUUGCUUUAUUUGUUGUUUUUGACAGCGGUCUAUUGGAUCAGCUAAGAGAACCUUUACAUGUUUAGAGUGCAGGAAAUGAUCGAUGUUUCAUAAGUUUGUUUUAGGAUAUUGAGUCUUUUCUAUAUCUUACCCAAAACCUGAGUUGUAAUGUAUCAAAGUGCCUUGAGUUGUUUAUGGACAUUUAUUUUGAAUAUGGCAGACAAAAAAUUGAGAUCAUCAUGGUGGAAUAUUUGCAUCUUCAAUGGCACAUUUAUGUAUCAGGUAAAUGGACUUCAGUAAAAAUCAUAGUUUGACCUUUGAUGUUGGUUUGGCUUUUAACUAUUUUGGUUCUAAACUUUAAGUUUUAGAUUUAGAUUAUUUUCCAAAGCUUGGAAGUUAUGUGUUGUUCGAUCCAGAGAGCUUUGAUCAAAUGAUCAACCGAUUGAAUUGGUUUCAGGUGAUAUUUAGGUCAAAGUCAUCGAUUGCACGGUGGAUAGGGUGAAUUCUUUUUAGACUUCUUGUAGUCUUUGAAUUAUCGAACUUGUCGGACCUGCAUGUCUGGUGCCUGUAUAACAGUAGUGGCGUGUUUUUAUGUAGGAUCUCAAUGAAGGCCAGUAGUGUUCCGGAAAUGUCAUAGUGCAGUUGGGACCUUGUGGUUGGCAGCAUUCAAUUUGUCUUGGUUUGUGAGUAUUUACAUUUUGAAAGUUGUGUAACUGUAUAUUUGGAAUUAUUUCACCAUCUUCCCAAUUUUUACAGCUGUGUUUAUUCUUCCUUCAUCUAUAUUUCUCUUUUCCACCAUUUGUUCUGAAAAUUAAUUGAUCUCUCAAAACCUUACCCAAAACCUUUGUUGUAAUGUAUCAAAGUGCCUUGAGUUGUUUAUGGACAUUUUUGAAGACAUGGUGGACAAAAAAUGAGAAGAUUCAUUGCGGGAUAUUUAUUAUUUGCAUCCUGAAUCGCACAAUGGGGUAUCAGGUAAAUGGACUUUAGUAAACAACUUAGUUUGACCUUUGAUCUUGGUUUGGCUCAUUAACUGUUUUUAUUCAAAACAUUAAGUUUUAGAUUAUUUUGAAAGGCUUGCAAAUUAUGCUUUGAUCGAUCCAGAUAGCUUUGAUAGAUACAGAUUUCUUUGGUUGAAUGAUCAGCCGAUUGAGUUGGUUUCAGGUAAUAUUUAGUACAAAGUCAGAAUGCAUCGAUUGCAUGGUCGAUAGAUUUGAAUGCCUGUGAGAAUGCCUGAUCUCAUUUGCUCUGAAAAUUCAUGGAUCUUUCUUACACUGAAUAUUAGGUGAGGAUUGCUUUUCUUUUACAAUUCAUUACAAAUGGCUUAUUGUAUUUGUACAGAUAUAGUGGGGGAGCAUAUUAAAUCCUUGUUUGUCUAUUAGUUCUCAGUUCUUGUCUUCAGUGUGGGGCAGAGCAGUUUGGUAGUUAACAAGGCUCCUAACCUUGAUGUCAUCAUGGGUUCAAAUCCUGUCUCCGCAGCUUUAUUUUUAUUCUUGGUUUUUAUUUAUUUUUUAUUUUAAAACAUAUGUGAAUAAGUUUGUUAUGUUGGUUGUCCGUUACUUUUUUGCAGUAACUUGAAGAUUGGCUUGGUGAAAGUUAAAGAGCCUUUUGCGUGGCUGGACUUCUUACUUGUCAUUGGACUGUACAUCCUGUGAUUAGUUGAAAACAGAAGAUAGUAUCUAAUUCUCUGUUUUUGUUUUUUGUUCUUGGCUUUUGCUUGACCUCUCUUUGGUGUUUUCAAACGCUUGUUAUUUUGCUUUAUUUGUAGUUGGUUUUGAGAGCGGUCUAUUGGAAGAGCCAAGAGAACCUUUACCUGUUUAGACUGCAGGAAAUGAUCGAUGUUUCCAUAAGUUUGUUUUAGGAUAUUGUCUCAUUUGCAUACCUUACCCAAAACCUGAUUUGUAAUGUAUCAAAGUGCCUUGAGUUGUUUAUGGACAUUUAUUUUGAAGACAUGGCAGACAAAAAAUUGAGAUCAUCAUGGUGGAAUAUUUGCAUCCUCAAUCGCAGAGUUAUGCAUCAGGUAAAUGGACUUCAGUAAAAACCUUAGUUUGACCUUUGAUCUUGGUUUGGCUCUUAACCUAUUUCUGUUCUAAACUUUAAGUUAUAGAUUUAGAUUAUUUUCGAAAGCUUGGAAGUUAUGAAUUGUUCGAUCCAGAGAGCUUUGAUCGAAUGAUCAACCGAUUGAAUUGGUUUCAGGUGAUAUUUAGGUCAAAGUCAGAAUGCAUCUAUUGCAUGGUGGUUAGGGUGAAUUCCUUUUAGACUUCUUGUAGUCUUCUAUUAAUCGAACUUGUCGGACCUACUUGUCUGGUGCCUGUAUAACAGUAGUGGCGUGUUUUUAUGUAGGAUCUCAAUGAAGGCCACUAGUGUUCAGGAAAUGUCAUAGUGCAGUCGGGACCUUGUGGUAGGCAGCAUUUGAUUCGUCUUGGUUUGUGCUUAUAUUUGGUAUUAUUUCACCAUCAUCCCAAUUUUUACCGCUGUGUUUUUUCUUCCUUCAUCUAUAUUUCUCUUUUCCACCAUUUGUUCUGAAAAAUCAUGGAUCUUUCUUCCACUGAAUAUUAGGUGAGGGUUGCUAUUCCUUUACAAUUCAUUACUAUUGGCAUAUUCUAUUUGUACCGAUAUAGUGGGGAAGCAUAUUAUAUCAUUGUUUGUCUAUUAGUUUCAGUUCUUGUCUUCAGCGUGGGGCAGAGCAAUUUGGUUGCUCACAAGGCUCCUAACCUUGACGUCUUGGGUUCAAAUCCCGUCUCCGCAGCUUUUUUUUUUUUUCUUUAUUUUUUUUCCAACAUGUUUGAAUAAGUUUGUUAUGCUGGUUGCCCGUUACUUUUUUUCUUGUUUGCAGUCACUUGAAGAUUGGCUUGAUGAAAGUUUUGGGUGGCUGGACUUCUUACUUGUCAUUGGACUGUACAUCCUGUAAUUAGUUGAAAACAGAAGAUGUUGAUUUUGAGAGCGGUCUAUUGGAAGAGCUAAGAGAACCUUUACCUGGUUAGACUGCAGGAAAUGAUUGAUGUUUCUGUAAGUUUGUUUUAGGAUAUUGAGUAAUUUUUAUAUCUUUCCCAAAACCUGAGUUGUAAUGUAUUAAAGUGCCUUGAGAUGUUUAUGAACAUUUAUUUUGAAGACAUGGCAGACAAAAAAUUGAGAUUGUUGUGGUGGAAUAUUUGCAUCCUCAAUUGCACAAUUAUAUAUCAGGUAAAUGGACUUCAGUAAAAACCUUAGUUUGACCUUUGAUCUUUGU
Cornus florida is the source of this 4632-nucleotide long non-coding RNA. RefSeq lists it as uncharacterized. The record is from RefSeq and is a predicted model, not a curated record. The transcript has 3 exons. NCBI's taxonomy places the organism in Eukaryota, Viridiplantae, Streptophyta, Magnoliopsida, Cornales, Cornaceae.